This 247-nucleotide ribosomal RNA is filed under the name uncultured bacterium. Its description in RNAcentral is "partial 16S ribosomal RNA". It matches the Rfam family "Bacterial small subunit ribosomal RNA", at positions 530 to 776 of the family's 1533-position model. The record is from RNAcentral.
GGGGGCUAGCGUUGCUCGGAAUCACUGGGCGUAAAGGGUGCGUAGGCGGGGUUUUAAGUCAGAGGGGAAAUCCUGGAGCUCAACUCCAGAACUGCCUUUGAUACUGAGAAUCUUGAGUUCGGGAGAGGUGAGUGGAACUGCGAGUGUAGAGGUGAAAUUCGUAGAUAUUCGCAAGAACCCCAGUGGCGAAGGCGGCUCACUGGCCCGAUACUGACGCUGAGGCACGAAAGCGUGGGGAGCAAACAGG